This 451-nucleotide ribosomal RNA is filed under the name uncultured bacterium. RNAcentral describes it as "bacterial SSU rRNA". It matches the Rfam family "Bacterial small subunit ribosomal RNA", at positions 354 to 796 of the family's 1533-position model. The record is from RNAcentral.
GUAGGGAAUAUUGCGCAAUGGAGGAAACUCUGACGCAGCGACGCCGCGUGGGUGAUGAAGGUCUUCGGAUCGUAAAGCCCUGUCGGAUGGGAAGAAAAACGGUAUGGCUAAUAUCCAUGCCGCUUGACUGUACCAUAAGAGGAAGCCCCGGCUAACUUCGUGCCAGCAGCCGCGGUAAUACGAAGGGGGCUAGCGUUGUUCGGAAUCAUUGGGCGUAAAGCGCGUGUAGGCUGUUUAUUAUGUCGGGUGUGAAAUCCCUGGGCUCAACCGAGGAAGUGCAUCCGAAACUGGUAAACUAGAAGAUGGUAGAGGAAGGUGGAAUUCCUAGUGUAGAGGUGAAAUUCGUAGAUAUUAGGAGGAAUACCUGAGGCGAAGGCGGCCUUCUGGGCCAUUCUUGACGCUGAGACGCGAAAGCGUGGGUAGCAAACAGGAUUAGAAACCCCAGUAGUCC